GGGACGGUGGAGGGUUAUAGUGUGGACACUUGCCUGGCGGAUGCUGUCCUCUGCAUCUCCAACAUUGAACUGGGAUUUUCUCAGCAGUUGGUGUCCCAACUUGACCAGUUCCUCCACAGUACACACUCGACUACGCAACUGGCUGGCAAGAUAGGAACGCAGAAAGGAAUGCAGCCUCAAACUCACUCCACGUGGAUAUGCUGGAACGUCUGACCUCCCACCAGUCACGAGCGGUUCCAUGUAGGACAGUACGGAAUGUGGCCAGGACAUCCGCAUCAGUGAGGGGAUGAAGAGCCAAGAAAUCCUGACAUUUAGUUAAGUACAGGAGGGGGUCUGCAUCGUCUGAUGGCCUUCCAAAAGUGGGAAAGGUUAACUUGAUAUGAUCACUUUUUACUACAGACGUGGGAAGAAGGGGUGAAGAUUCAGCUGGCAAAUUUGAAGUAAUGGUGUUGCUGAGAAUUUGUGGUGCCAAUUUUUGUUGUUCUUCAAUUUGAUUGUUGAUAUCUUGAAAUCCUUUCUCCAACUCAUUUCUCAACUCCUUUACACAUGUGGAAAACUUGUGGAUUUGGGUGACACAUUGCUGAAGUUCUGAAGUAAUGUGAUCCUGACUUGUUUGAAAUGUAUGUUGACCAGCUUUGAUGUCCUGCUGGACUUCUGACUGGAGUUGAUCUACCAUGAAACGCAUUUCCGACACCAAGAUUCCUCUUGUUGUUUGGUAGUGGUCAACAGAGUGAAGACUUGGCUUUUGUUAUCCUCCACUUUUACAGCAAGGUCAGCGAGCUGAUUUUUAUGGUGGGAAGAAGUGGCUUUCAUUUCUUGGGAGUUGGGAGGACGUUGGGUAGGUCAUGUUGUGCCACAGAAGAAGGAGUUCCACCUUCAGAUGAUGUGCAGAGUUGCAUAGGUUCUGGCUGAAAUGAAGCAGAGCCACCUAGAGGCAUGGAGGCAAAGUGCACCUGAGACCGGGGAUGGGGACUGCUGAAUUGAGUUGGGGUGAAGUGGAAAGUGGGAAACUGAGGUAGAAGAAUGGGUCUUGGCUGCACAGGUGGCCAGACGGGCGUCGCUAUGUCUGGAGGAGGGUCAAUUUCCACUGAUGUGGAAGGGGAAGGAGGGAUAGUAGCCAUUUUGUUUUGGGUUUUUGUUGUGUUUGUGUGAGUGAAAGAAAUGUAGAGUAGAAAAUCAGUAAAUAUAAAAUGUAAAUCAGUAAUAGUGUUUGGGUCAGUAAUUUCUUGCACCACGUUUUCACUAAACAAUAUAAAACUUUUCACAAAUGGUCAACCAAUACUUUUCCCAAUUUAAUAACACUCCCGCAAUCAAAAGCACAAUUUCCAAAAGCAACAUUUUUCCUUUAUGGUUCAAAGUUUUAACCUUUAACAAUUUACCAUAAGGUCUCAAUAAUUCUCCAACAAACACAAUUCACAAAAAUAAUGUUCAAGUUCACAUACACAAUUUUUUUUCAAGUCCCUGUUCGGGCGCCACUCUGUAACGGUGGGGGUCGCCCUGGCACAAAUAAAAUCUCUUUAAGUCUUUUUUCGGGCGCCAGCCAGGAUUGAUCCUGACAAAAUUAAAGUAACCCAGGAUAGCCAAUAAAAAAAACCACCUGUUACAAUAUUAAGUCACAAAAAAUAGUCAGAAGAAAAACUGUUCGAAAUGGGAAGAUUUAUUCCACAAUGUCCAUGAAGAAUCUUGGUUGAAAAAUAAGUAACAGGAAAAAAAAACAUUUCAGCCCUUUGUAUCAAUUCAAGGGUGAAUUCGGGGAAUUCCUCCGUGUAGUAAUUGCGUCACACUAUUUCACGUUUCCAACAUGGCAGAUUCACAUCCACAGUCAUUCAUAAAUUGUCCAUAGAAAAAAAACAAAAAACAUUAAAUAAGCAUUUUGUUCAUUUCAUUUGUUCAUUUCAUAAUUAAGCAAUAACAUUAAACCACACUCUUAAAGCAACAUUUAAUCAUUUACCAGUCAUGGAAAACAAAAAAGAAACCCACCGAA
Molecule: long non-coding RNA, 1984 nt
Organism: Onychostoma macrolepis
Lineage: Eukaryota; Metazoa; Chordata; Actinopteri; Cypriniformes; Cyprinidae
Exons: 5
Source: RefSeq, a predicted model, not a curated record